This 778-nucleotide ribosomal RNA is filed under the name uncultured bacterium. RNAcentral's name for it is "bacterial SSU rRNA". It matches the Rfam family "Bacterial small subunit ribosomal RNA", at positions 8 to 796 of the family's 1533-position model. The record is from RNAcentral.
AGAGUUUGAUCCUGGCUCAGGAUGAACGCUAGCGGCAGGCCUAAUACAUGCAAGUCGAACGGGGCAGCAAUGCCUAGUGGCGCACGGGUGCGUAACGCGUAUGCAACCUACCUUUCAGUGGGGGAUAGCCCGGGGAAACCCGGAUUAAUACCGCAUAAUAUAGUUGAAUGGCAUCAUUUGAUUAUUAAACAUUUAUGGCUGAAAGAUGGGCAUGCGUUAGAUUAGCUAGUUGGUGAGGUAGCAGCUCACCAAGGCGAUGAUCUAUAGGGGUUCUGAGAGGAAGAUCCCCCACACUGGUACUGAGAUACGGACCAGACUCCUACGGGAGGCAGCAGUAGGGAAUAUUGGGCAAUGCUCGCAAGAGUGACCCAGCCAUGCCGCGUGCAGGAAGAAGGCCUUCUGGGUUGUAAACUGCUUUUGGAAGGGAACAAAACGGGCAUGCGUGCCAAUUUGAGUGUACCUUCAGAAUAAGCACCGGCUAACUCCGUGCCAGCAGCCGCGGUAAUACGGAGGGUGCAAGCGUUGUCCGGAUUUAUUGGGUUUAAAGGGUGCGUAGGCGGCUUAUUAAGUCAGGGGUGAAAGACUGCAGCUCAACUGUAGCAGUGCCUUUGAUACUGAUGAGCUUGAGUACAGAUGAGGCUGGCGGAAUGGGUGGUGUAGCGGUGAAAUGCAUAGAUACCAUCCAGAACACCGAUUGCGAAGGCAGCCGGCUAAACUGUAACUGACGCUGAGGCACGAAAGCGUGGGGAUCGAACAGGAUUAGAUACCCUAGUAGUCC